Molecule: ribosomal RNA, 647 nt
Filed under: uncultured Gemmata sp.
Lineage: Bacteria; Pseudomonadati; Planctomycetota; Planctomycetia; Gemmatales; Gemmataceae
Description: bacterial SSU rRNA
Rfam family: Bacterial small subunit ribosomal RNA
Source: RNAcentral
UUAGGCAUGCAGUCGCGGGAAUCCCAGCAAUGGGGGAACCGGCGUAAGGGGCAGUAAGGCGUGGGUACCCACCGCGGGGUCCGGGAUAGCCGUCCGAGAGGGCGGGUAAUACCGGAUGACCUCGGGAGAGCAAAGCUCCGGCGCCCUGUGAGGGGCCCACGUGAUAUUAGCUAGUUGGCGGGGUGACGGCCCACCAAGGCGGAGAUGUCUAGCGGGUGUGAGAGCACGACCCGCGCCACUCGCACUGAGACACUGGCGAGACACCUACGGGUGGCUGCAGUCGAGGAUCUUCGGCAAUGCGCGCAAGCGCGACCGAGCGACGCCGCGUGGGCGAUGAAGGCCUUCGGGUUGUAAAGCCCUGUCGAGGGGGAGAAAAGAGCAAUCUUGAUCUAUCCCUGGAGGAAGCUCGGGCUAAGUUCGUGCCAGCAGCCGCGGUAAGACGAACCGAGCGAACGUUGUUCGGAAUCACUGGGCUUAAAGGGCGCGUAGGCGGGCUGCCAAGUUUGGGGUGAAAUCCUCCGGCUCAACCGGGGAAGUGCCUUGAAUACUGGCGGUCUGGAGGGGGGUAGGGGCGUGCGGAACCAACGGUGGAGCGGUGAAAUGCGUUGAUAUCGUUGGGAACUCCGGUGGCGAAGGCGGCACGCUGG